Molecule: non-coding RNA, 1152 nt
Organism: Rattus norvegicus (Norway rat)
Lineage: Eukaryota; Metazoa; Chordata; Mammalia; Rodentia; Muridae
Source: RefSeq, a predicted model, not a curated record
GUUAGACAGAGGUAGUUAUCAGUCAUCCUCACACUUAUAAUCCUCCAUCCCACCUGGAGGCCCCUCACAAGGGGCAUCCUAUACUCACCAGACUAUUAGGUCUCCCUCCAGAGCUGGAAAGCAGACUGUGCCCAGAGCUCAGCUAGGAAGCACGGAAACUUUCCUUGUGAGAAUGUGAAGAUGUUUGUCAUUUCCCUAUUGUAUUUUGGAUGAGAGGCACUAACAAGAGCAGCCACUGAAUGAGUGAUGUGUGCCAUGAGUCCCUGCAGUAGCACCCAAAUGCCCUCCAUUUUUCUUUAUCUCCAGCACAACCAUCUCCACCUAGAAAAUGGAGGAGUCCAGGGCCUAUGAGGUUUGGGGGGUUAUUCUUAUCUUUUAUAAAAUAUCUCUUUUCAGAGACAAAGCUCCUGCCUCCCAUAAAAAAAGUGUGGGAUUCAUUUGUGGAUGCCACAUUUUACCUGUGACUCAUUUCCUGCCCUAAGUUUCACAUCAGAUGUCUAUCUCCCUUGGUUUUUCUUCCUAUGGGUUCAUAGCUUCACGUGGUCUUGUGCUUUGUUUUAUUUUGUUUUGCUCUGCUUUGUUUGUGUGUGUUUUCAGAUGGUGCUAAGGGUCAGACCCAGGGUCUUUGCUAUGUUCAGUAAGUUCUCUGCCACUGAGCUUCGUUUCCGGCCCUCAAUGUGUCAUAUUGUCUCUCAUGUUUCCCUGUCCCUUUUCUUACUACAUAUGGGACCUUCUUUUCCAAUAUCCUAUGACCAUCUGUAGAAAGGGGUCCCUUGAAUGCAGGACUUGAAAAAGUACUGAUAUGGACUUUGCUGUCCUUAUAUUCAAGCUGGCUUCCCCACACAACACAAAGACACACACACACACACACACACACACACACACACUAUUAUCCUCACUUCCACCCCAUCUUGCUCUACCUCCCAGAGAGAACAACUGAAUAGCUCACUGUGAUGUGCCAAAGUUCCACCCUCUGAUGGACAGCAGUGUUUUCGGCUCCCUGUUCCUGGAACAUAGGUAACACGGCCCUCAUUCCCAAGGCUGAUGCUGUGAGCUCUCUACUGAAGGAUCCAGGACUACCCCUGUAACUACAGGUUCAAAAGUUAAGUCGUCUACCUUUGGAAGGAGAAAAUACAAAUCCUUGAAACCAAA